AGUGAACGCUGGCGGCGUGCCUAAUACAUGCAAGUCGAACGAAGUGGCGCACGGGUGAGUAAUAUAUAGUUAAUCUGCCCUCCUCAGAGGAACAACAGUUGGAAACGACUGCUAAUACCUCAUAGUGUAGGAUGAGACUAUAUCGUAUCAGCUAGUUGGUAAGGUAAUGGCUUACCAAGGCUAUGACGCGUAACUGGUCUGAGAGGAUGAUCAGUCACAGUGGCACUGAGACACUGACCAAACUCCGACGGGAGUCAGCAGUAAGGAAUAUUUCGAAAUGGGGGAGACACUGACGCAGCAACGCCGCGUGGAAGAUGACACGUGUGGGAGCGUAAACUCCUUUUAUAAGGAAAGCGGUACCUGCUGAAUAAGCACCGGCUAACUCCGUGCCAGCAGCCGCGGUAAUAC
RNAcentral lists this ribosomal RNA (408 nucleotides) under uncultured bacterium. Its description in RNAcentral is "partial 16S ribosomal RNA". It matches the Rfam family "Bacterial small subunit ribosomal RNA", at positions 29 to 526 of the family's 1533-position model. The record is from RNAcentral.